Molecule: ribosomal RNA, 412 nt
Filed under: uncultured bacterium
Lineage: Bacteria
Description: bacterial SSU rRNA
Rfam family: Bacterial small subunit ribosomal RNA
Source: RNAcentral
UCGGGAAUAUUGCGCAAUGGAGGAAACUCUGACGCAGUGACGCCGCGUAUAGGAAGAAGGUUUUCGGAUUGUAAACUAUUGUCGUUAGGGAAGAAAAAGACAGUACCUAAGGAGGAAGCUCCGGCUAACUACGUGCCAGCAGCCGCGGUAAUACGUAGGGAGCGAGCGUUAUCCGGAUUUAUUGGGUGUAAAGGGUGCGUAGACAGGUGUGCAAGUUGGUUGUGAAAUCCCUCGGCUUAACUGAGGAACUGCAACAAACUGUAUAUCUUGAGUACAGGAGAGGUAAGUGGAAUUCCUAGUGUAGCGGUGAAAUGCGUAGAUAUUAGGAGGAACACCAGUGGCGAAGGCGACUUACUGGACUGAAACUGACGUUGAGGCACGAAAGUGUGGGGAGCAAACAGGAUUAGAUACC